Molecule: ribosomal RNA, 1400 nt
Filed under: uncultured bacterium
Lineage: Bacteria
Description: bacterial SSU rRNA
Rfam family: Bacterial small subunit ribosomal RNA
Source: RNAcentral
AGAGUUUGAUCCUGGCUCAGAUUGAACGCUGGCGGCAGGCCUAACACAUGCAAGUCGAACGGUAACAGGAAGAAGCUUGCUUCUUUGCUGACGAGUGGCGGACGGGUGAGUAAUGUCUGGGAAACUGCCUGAUGGAGGGGGAUAACUACUGGAAACGGUAGCUAAUACCGCAUAACGUCGCAAGACCAAAGAGGGGGACCUUCGGGCCUCUUGCCAUCGGAUGUGCCCAGAUGGGAUUAGCUAGUAGGUGGGGUAACGGCUCACCUAGGCGACGAUCCCUAGCUGGUCUGAGAGGAUGACCAGCCACACUGGAACUGAGACACGGUCCAGACUCCUACGGGAGGCAGCAGUGGGGAAUAUUGCACAAUGGGCGCAAGCCUGAUGCAGCCAUGCCGCGUGUAUGAAGAAGGCCUUCGGGUUGUAAAGUACUUUCAGCGGGGAGGAAGGGAGUAAAGUUAAUACCUUUGCUCAUUGACGUUACCCGCAGAAGAAGCACCGGCUAACUCCGUGCCAGCAGCCGCGGUAAUACGGAGGGUGCAAGCGUUAAUCGGAAUUACUGGGCGUAAAGCGCACGCAGGCGGUUUGUUAAGUCAGAUGUGAAAUCCCCGGGCUCAACCUGGGAACUGCAUCUGAUACUGGCAAGCUUGAGUCUCGUAGAGGGGGGUAGAAUUCCAGGUGUAGCGGUGAAAUGCGUAGAGAUCUGGAGGAAUACCGGUGGCGAAGGCGGCCCCCUGGACGAAGACUGACGCUCAGGUGCGAAAGCGUGGGGAGCAAACAGGAUUAGAUACCCUGGUAGUCCACGCCGUAAACGAUGUCGACUUGGAGGUUGUGCCCUUGAGGCGUGGCUUCCGGAGCUAACGCGUUAAGUCGACCGCCUGGGGAGUACGGCCGCAAGGUUAAAACUCAAAUGAAUUGACGGGGGCCCGCACAAGCGGUGGAGCAUGUGGUUUAAUUCGAUGCAACGCGAAGAACCUUACCUGGUCUUGACAUCCACAGAACUUUCCAGAGAUGGAUUGGUGCCUUCGGGAACUGUGAGAACAGGGGCUGCAUGGCUGUCGCCAACUCCGGUUUGGAAAAUGUGGGGUUAAAUCCCCCAAAAAGGCGAACCCUUUAUCUUUUGUUGCCACGGGUCCGGCCGGGAACUCAAAGGAGAUUCCCGUGUAAAAUUGGGGAGAAGGGGGGGAGAACCUCAAGUCUCUUUGGCCUCUUCAACAAGGGGUACACACGUGUCAAAUGGGCGUACAAAAAGAAAGGACCUCGCGAGAGAAGCGGACCUCAUAAAGUGCGUCGUAGUCCGGAUUGGAGUCUGCAACUCGACUCCAUGAAGUCGGAAUCGCUAGUAAUCGUGGAUCAGAAUGCCACGGUGAAUACGUUCCCGGGCCUUGCACACACCGCCCGUC